Molecule: ribosomal RNA, 1547 nt
Filed under: Holothuria edulis
Lineage: Eukaryota; Metazoa; Echinodermata; Holothuroidea; Aspidochirotida; Holothuriidae
Description: 16S ribosomal RNA
Rfam family: Bacterial large subunit ribosomal RNA (bases 1-1339)
Source: RNAcentral
AGAAAAGUUUCAACAAGACUCUACCAAAACUAAACAAACUAGCAAGACAAAACCAAACAAUUACCUAAGUACCUUAAGGGAACGCUUGAAAUAUAAUUAAAAUAAAAAACAUAAAAGGAGGCAUCCCAUACCUUUUGCAUCAUGGCUUAACAAGAAAAUCACGAGAAAAACUCGAACACCCGAAAGGUCGUGAGCUAACUUCUCCUGCCAAAGAACUAAUCCUCUACUGUUGCAAUAGUAGAGAAAAAGGAAAAGUUAGAGGUAAAACACCAAUCGCACCACCUGAUAACUGGUAUUCGGAAAAAGAAGUAUAAGCUCCUUUUACCUAAACAACAAGUCUAACGUUACAACAAACAAAGAUCACUUUCCAGUAAAAACAGAGGACAGAAGACAAGUUCUACCCUCAAAAGGGAAACAACCCUCAGCGUAAGCAAAGUCAUCAAAAAAAGGGGAAAACAACCAAAGUAGGCCUAAAAGCUGCCAACCAAAGAGAAAGCGUUAAAGCUCAAAUCUAUUAUCCCAGGAAUCCCUGCUACCAAAUCUACUCUUCGCUAUAGGUAUCCGAAAAAAACAAUGUUAAGAUAAGUAAAAAGAAACUCCUCUCGAACUCACAAAGACACUCUAAUUCUUCAACCAAAUAGAGCAAAGCACAAGAAAGCUCCCCCAUAUCAUCCUACCAACUCAGGCGUGAGAAAUAAAGAUCGGAGAACCAGGAGGAAAGGAACUCGGCAAAACAGAAAAAGGACUGUUUACCAAAAACAUAGCUCUUUGAAUAUUUAAAGGGUCCAGCCUGCCCAGUGGCUUAAAGCUAAACGGCCGCGGUAUCUUGACCGUGCAAAGGUAGCAUAAUCACUUGUCUUUUAAAUGGAGACUUGUAUGAACGGCGAAACCUUUUUCAACUGUCUCUCCUCCCACCCUUCAAAAUUUCUUUCCGUGUGAAGAAGCACAGAUAUACCAGAAAGACGAGAAGACCCUGUCGAGCUUUAACCAUUAAGUGAACACUCCUAUUUACUUAGAUAUCACCUAAAGGUUUUGGUUGGGGCAACCGUGGAGAAAAAAAAUCCUCCAGAAUAAAUAGAAGAAAACCCUUCACUAAUUAUCAACUACUUAAAGAACCAGGAACUGGUAUUCGGAAAAAGUUACCGCAGGGAUAACAGCGUUAUCUCCUCUGAGAGUCCUUAUUGACGAGGAGGCUUGCGACCUCGAUGUUGGAUUGGGGCCCCCUUAGGGUGCAGAAGCUCUAAACGGUUAGACUGUUCGUCUAUUAAAGCCCUACAUGAUCUGAGUUCAGACCGACGCAAGUCAGGUCAGCUUCUAUCUUCUUCAAGAUCUUCCUAGUACGAAAGGACCGGAAAAUCCCUUUAAAUGGCCAUCCCCAAAAAGGACAUUUUUUAUCAAAUUUUCACAAAAUUUCACCUCUAAAACCCAAAUCCAAACCCCCAUCCCAUCCCACAGAAUCUUCCGCAAGGCUCAAAAUCCCACACAAAAAGUAUUUCUAAAAAUCUUUACAAGGGGGGGACCUUACAAUUUUUUAUAUUUUAAAAAUC